This 120-nucleotide ribosomal RNA is filed under the name Cyphomyrmex costatus. The record is from RNAcentral. Lineage: Eukaryota; Metazoa; Arthropoda; Insecta; Hymenoptera; Formicidae.
GUCAACGUUCAUACCACGUCGGAAAUUACCAGUUCUCGUCCGAUCACUGAAGUCAAGCGACGUUGGGUACGGUUAGUACUUGGAUGGGUGACCGCUUGGGAACACCGUAUAAUGUUGACA